AGAGUUUGAUCAUGGCUCAGAAUCAACGCUGGCGGCGUGCCUAACACAUGCAAGUCGAACGAGAAAACAGGGGCAACUCUGUGAGUAUAGUGGCGUACGGGUGAGUAACACGUGACUAACCUACCUUCGAGUGGGGGAUAACCCCGGGAAACCGGGGCUAAUACCGCAUAAUAUCGCAAGAUCAAAGGAGUAAUCCGCUUGAAGAGGGGGUCGCGGCUGAUUAGCUAGUUGGUAGGGUAAUGGCCUACCAAGGCGAUGAUCGGUAGCCGGCCUGAGAGGGCGCACGGCCACACUGGAACUGAAACACGGUCCAGACUCCUACGGGAGGCAGCAGUGGGGAAUUUUGCGCAAUGGGGGAAACCCUGACGCAGCAACGCCGCGUGGAGGAUGAAGUCCCUUGGGACGUAAACUCCUUUCGACCGGGACGAUUAUGACGGUACCGGUGGAAGAAGCCCCGGCUAACUUCGUGCCAGCAGCCGCGGUAAUUC
RNAcentral lists this ribosomal RNA (488 nucleotides) under uncultured bacterium. Its description in RNAcentral is "bacterial SSU rRNA". It matches the Rfam family "Bacterial small subunit ribosomal RNA", at positions 8 to 526 of the family's 1533-position model. The record is from RNAcentral.